CACUUUAUCUGCCCAACUGUUAGCCGUAAAGUCAACAACGUUGCUCAUAACUUUGCCGCUCUUCGACGUCCGCUGUUCAAUCACAUAACCCAUUGGGUUAUGCCCCAACUCUUUCGCCUCUUGCAUAUGUUUGUUAAUCAAAUCCUCAGAUUGUUGAUUACGUUCCACCUCCUCUGUUCCACGCAGCCUAGAUUUAAUUGUUCUUGCCGGCGGGUCC
Molecule: long non-coding RNA, 217 nt
Filed under: Salvia miltiorrhiza (redroot sage)
Lineage: Eukaryota; Viridiplantae; Streptophyta; Magnoliopsida; Lamiales; Lamiaceae
Description: long non-coding RNA (SMIL_LNC010829)
Source: RNAcentral